Molecule: ribosomal RNA, 253 nt
Filed under: uncultured bacterium
Lineage: Bacteria
Description: partial 16S ribosomal RNA
Rfam family: Bacterial small subunit ribosomal RNA
Source: RNAcentral
GACGUAGGGCGCGAGCGUUGUCCGGAUUUAUUGGGCGUAAAGAGCUCGUAGGCGGCUUGUCGCGUCGUCCGUGAAAACCUGGGGCUCAACCCCAGGCUUGCGGUCGAUACGGGCAGGCUCGAGUUCGGUAGGGGAGACUGGAAUUCCUGGUGUAGCGGUGAAAUGCGCAGAUAUCAGGAGGAACACCGGUGGCGAAGGCGGGUCUCUGGGCCGAAACUGACGCUGAGGAGCGAAAGCGUGGGGAGCAAACAGG